Molecule: long non-coding RNA, 6574 nt
Organism: Strigops habroptila (Kakapo)
Lineage: Eukaryota; Metazoa; Chordata; Aves; Psittaciformes; Psittacidae
Exons: 2
Source: RefSeq, a predicted model, not a curated record
CGGGCGCACUGCGGCGUCGGCCAGCGCCCCCUGCUUCCAUCCCUGCGCUUGUCGCGCAGCCGACGGAGUGCUUUUCUGCCGCCCGCCUCGACCCGGCGCAGCCCCGAGCCGCCGCCGUUCCCCCCGCCCCGCCGAGGGGCGAAGGGCUGGCGCGGACGUUACCUCCACCCACUCGGCCUCGGCGCCGUGCUCGGGCGGCUUCACUUGCAGCCGGGCGGACGUGCACUGCUGUAGCAGGGCCCGCGCCAGCGCCGGCCGCGCCACGGCCGCCAUAGCGAGCCCAGCUCAGCCUGAGGAGGGCGGGGGCAGAUGUGCGCGGUGCUCGGGCCCGUCGCUGCCGCCGCGCGUCGGGUAACGCCUUUCCGGCACCGCAGGCUGCGCGGAGCGGCGGCGCUGGGGCUGGGAGCCGCGUCCCCGGGAGCCCGCCAUCGCAGGCGGAUGGAAGGGACGGGGCGGAGGCACCGUUGAGCUCUGCGGGAGGCAGCGACUUCGCGCUGUAAAUGUUUAAAAGCAGUUUGCAAGCGGUGAAGAAAGUCCUUGCUGCAAAUGCAAGAGAAAACCAGCAAAUACCUUUUGCAGAAGGUAAAACAGGCCUUGUGGUCUGUCGGUGGCUUCUAAGGAGGGGCAGGCAGCAAGGAUACAAGCUUUGGAACAGAGUGACUGAGAUGAACCCAUCAAGUUGGAGCAUUUCUCUUCAGUGAUGCUGCUUUGGAGCAGAGGGAACAGAAAAUAAUGUACUGAAAAGGGAGCUGGAGAGCGAGGGAUCAAAAUAAUGAAAAAAAGAGUAGUUCUGAAGUGAGAUCCCAAUGCUAAUGGGAAAAGUUAAAGUAUUGCAUAUACUACUUUUGUUAUCUGUCAGGUUUUUGCCUACAUACCCUGAUAGUCAUCAAACAGUUCCGAAAUUAGAAGAGUGCCUUCCUCCCAUCCAUGAAAUCUUGACAGAUACAAGUUUUGAAUAACAUUGGCUUCAGCAAAGUCAGGAUAGAGAGAUGCAGAAUUCAGUGUCUCUCUCUGAAUGAAUUUUAACACUGAAGAUUUUAUUUUUACAACUCUGUUCAAGACAAAAAAAAAAAAGGUAAUACUUCUCAUUGUGGGUGAGAAGCCAAAUUUUAUUACCUGGUCUCCAUAAAAGAGUAAGAUUACUGAAGAUGAUUAUUGCACAGGAAGGGGCAGUAUGUAGUUGUGAAUAGCCAGUGUUACACCUAGGGAUGUAUUUGGCUUCUGUCAUUUAAAAAUAACAUUCUCUCUUGCAUGAGUGUUCAGUGAGGUUGCUCUUCCUGAAGCAAACCUUUAUGGAAGGAAAGGAAACUGCACUAGGUGGUUAGCGCAUAAACUAGCUGAUUUUUGCUAGCUGUAGGGUACUGUUAAGUAUGAGCUGGUUUUAUUUAAACUCAGCUAAUUUUAUUUAAAAUACCUUCUGUUCACUUACUGUAAAGCUGUAUCCCCAGACUCAUUAGGAAGCGUUUAGUGACGUAGCAAUCCAUUUAAAAUGAGGGUUUUUUUCAUAUAUAUUUGUGAUAUAAAUUGAUUGUUAAAUGGAUUAUACUACAAUCUGAGCAAAUUAUGUAACCAGAUUAUAGAGGGAUAGUAAUGUACAAUUACGUUGAUUGUUCUUUGUUGCAGUACCGUUAUUUACACCAGGAUUUGAUGAAGAACAUUUAUUCAUGUGCAAGUUUCAACACAAAUGUGAAACAGUGUAUAGAAAAAUUAGUAUGACAUCAUUGUUUAUUUUUGGAUUCUUGGUGGAAUUAUAUUUUCUUUGGGAAGACAUUCAUUUUCUUGUAAUGCAUCUUGAAUUUCUUGAACCUUUUUGGUCCAUAGUUAGGUUAAGGGCCUCUCUUUGUAUGCCAAAGAAUGAUAGUAAAUUUGUUGGUUACAUUUUAGACAAAAGUUUGGAUUUCAUUGGUUUUUCACAAACCUCCUGACACCUAAAGAAUAUAUUCCUGCAUAAAUUAUAUUGAUAUUUUUAUCAGUUAUUUAUACAAAUAGUUUUUUCUACAUUUUGGAUUUGACAGCUGUCCCAGAAUAUUUCUUGUAUCCUCUGCUUGUUGCCACUGGAGCAGAGAGUAGGUAUUUUGAGAAUGGUAUUCAGAAGACAUUUCUGGUUACUUUCACAUCAGUUCUCUUUCAGAAGGGCAGAUGGCAGUGUGAACCACUUCUCACAGAUUUCAGUGGACAUGUGUUUUUUCCUUCCCCUUUGUGUGAAUGGUCAUGCAUAUUUCAUCUACAUUUAAUGGAAUGAAUCCUUUUGUGAAGAGGGGGAUGGGUUCUGGGAGCUCUGCCUCUGUGGGUACUUGGUUUUCCCCUGUUUUAUCAGAGGAUGAAAUGCUAGAGGUCAUUCAGUACCAAAACGAUCUCAAGUGGUCUUGAAUUCUUCCCUAGGGAUGAUUUUUAUUUUUUCUGUGUUAGUAUUAAGUUGCAGUUGCAUACUCUGGCAGGGGCAGUAGUUGACUGGAACUUUGAAUCGACAAGAUGCAUCUUGAUGCAAUUCCUUUGUCUGUGGUGUCUGAAACCAUGAUCAAAGGUAUUUGAAGCAGCUAUCACAUCAACAGUGUCAUCUGUUUUAAAGAGAAACCAUACAAAGCUGCAGUGGCACUUGGAUAGCAAAGAUACAAAAUAGGUAGCUGGUAAGGUUAUAUCUUGGUAGAACUAAGACGUAGGUAUGUCUGCUUGUGCGACAGACAUACUAAAAGUACACUUUUUAAUUUGGCCAUGGUGAAGAGAUCAUCCCUCAAAGGAAAGACUAUAGAUACACAGUAUCUCUUUUUCAAGAUGUUAAAACUGCCACAAGACAGCUCAGAAUGACAGUGUGUUUUGUUUCUGAAGUGAUGUUUAUCAUCUUACAUCCUGAACUGAGUCAAGUCCUUUGCUUUCUAUUGGAUAAUUAUAACUUUUUCUCUUUUGGUCCCAGAUUACAUAUUUUGCUUGUUUCUGAGCUACAUAGCCUACUCAUGCUAUCUGGGAUGAGCUAUCUGGUUCUUCGUAUUUUGUGAUUUUUAUUUUUUUGUAGCCUGUUUCUCCAUCUAGUUCAAGACCCAAUUAAGCUUUCUUCUUUCUACAGCCUCAGAAUUGCUAGCUGAAAUGCUGAUUAGCUGGAAGAAAGGAAGUACUGCUGAACGGCGAUGUGGAUGUAGAGAGGAUUAGGUGGUCAUGUUAGAAUCAUUUUAUUGUCUAAGUAGCAGACACUUAGACACAUUAUGAUGACUGUAUUUAGUACUGACUUCUCUCUUAUUCAAAGUGCUGUCCAGACAUUAAGGUCAGGAGCAUGUCUGCUUCCCAGCCAUCAUCCUUCUUCCUCCAGAGGUAUUUAAAAAUAAGGAAGGCAGAGAGAGGGCAUGAAGAAUUUCCGUAGUACAAGUCAAGCAGCAGAAAUGAGAUGGAAUAGCAGUCUUGUCAAUCAAAAUCCACAAGUAUUGCACAAUGCCUGUGUAAGGCUACCAGAAAUCGCUCUUUCAGAGAAGACAUGGGGUGAGGACUAGCAUCGACCUAGCCCUCCAAAGAGACCCCCAGAUCUGUUUAGCCUUCAAAAUAAGCAUUGGAGGAAGGUGACUGAGAGGAAGAGAUGGCAUUGUGAUUUUCAUCUUUCUGGUUUGCGCUAUAGCCCUGAGGAAGGUUGUGACCUCUUCAGCCCCAGUUUUGUAGCUUCCAUUGGUACACCUCUUCAGCUCUUCCAGCCGAGCCAACUUACUGUCCCCAGGAAUGUCUCAGUUGUUUCCAGUGAAGGCUGGUAUUCCUGUUGUGGAAGAGUAAUCCUGUGAUUUAAGCAGCUGAUUUUAUGCAUGUUUAAAGUAUGCAGCGAAAAUUAAAUACAUUAGUAAAAAUAGAUUAGUGUUUUGUUUAGUCCUUCAUACUGUUACAAAACAGAUACUGAAAUGUUAGAGUAAUCAAAACUUAAUUAAAUUUCUGAAUAGAGUAACAGUGUGAAAGCUGUGUUGGGUACAAUUACAGCUUUUCUAAGUGAGAAGCAGAAAUUUAACUGUUGGGGGGGAAAAAAAGGUAGCCAGGUAGAGACACACAAUCUGUUUGCUUACCAUGAUUGUCUAAAGGAACUAAGCACGCUAUUCAUCACAGUUUCUCUCUUUACAGGUGUCGGGUAUGUUCAUUUGCCUGUCAUGUUUAACUACUGUAUUUUUCCCCUGCUUGGGUGUCUCCCAUACCAAACCUUUGUCUGCAUGAUUGAAAGUCAUAAUGUUAAAAGGACUCCUGUAUCCUGCUCCAACAAAAUCAACAAAGCAGUGGGAAUAGCCUACCUACAGUAUGUACCUUAGGGUAUAAUUGUAACACCUCACACUGGUUAGAAAGCAAUACAGAAUUGAGCUAACCUAAUAAGCUUUGAUCCUGAACCUUUCUUGUGCAGAGCCAACCUUAAGUUUGAAACAACACUCUCAAUUCUGGAGUUGGGAGGGAGGUUGUACAGAGCCACCAAAAUGUCUCCAAGAGGAGUCCCUCAAAGGUCAGCAGUUUUCUAGCUCUCUUUUAAGAAUGGUACUGCCAGAUCCAGGCUGAUCCCUGCAGGCAUAUUUGUUGGCUUUGUACUUGCCUCCUUUGUCUCUUGAGUUUGGAAUCUGGGUUCUACAGAGGAGUUCUUGGAAACAAGUUGGAUGUAGGACAGUAACUGAAGCAGUGGUGAAGGAAAAAGCACCCAUGUAGGUGUAAAAGGCUAACCUUAUGGUCACAGGGCCUGGAGCAAACAGGGAGGAGUAAGAGUGCUGAAUGAGCCUGCAGCUGUGCGGGCUGUUUGCCAGCCCUGAACAAGCUCAGUCCACCCACUCAGCCAGCUUUGAUCAAUGAAUCUCAGCUUCAGGUUCUUGUUCUCCAUAUGGAGUUGUGGACUAUGCAUCUGUGCAGAGCCUGGCACUGGUCUGGCAGUGGGGUGGGUGGCGGUUGUGCUUUGCUUCGAGACACUAAGCUAACCCGUGUCUUGAGUGGUCUAUACGGGUGUUGCAAACUGAGUUCCUCCUAAUGGAGGAGGUAUUUAUACUGAACUCUGUUGUAGAGGCCCUGUAGAACACGUCCUACGUUCUUUGUGCCCUACGUUCAUGGCUGGUUUGGUGCAGACCCAAGGUGACUCCACCAAGUGUUCGUGCUGUGCUCCACAGCCCCUGGAUCAUUGUCCCUGUAUGCUGUAUACUGUCCUCUGCCCCUGCCAUGUAAAGGAAUUCAGAUCUGCUCUCCUCCGCAGGUAUUGCUGCAUCACUGCUCUCUGCACCUCAUAAACACUAAUUACUGAUAGUAAUUAGUACUACAGAGGUGUGGUUUUGUUAAUCUUUUUGUUUGUUUGUUUGUUUGUUUAAUUUUCAGUGAGAAAUUUUGGUGAUAAUGUGAGGACAUUGCUAUAGACAAAAAUAUAUCGAUAUCUUCUAGGAGCUGGAACUUGAGUUUCUAUGUUUUCAAUAGAUUUCACAUGUAAAAUUAUCAGGCUAUUGGUAUAAAGCCUCAUGUUAUCAUUAAAAAUGUACAUAGAUUGAGAUGUGGCUUUUUCUGCUCCUUUCACAACAGAAUGAAAGGUCAUUUAUUAUUCUCUAUGUACCUGGAGGACUCCUUGCCUGCAGUUACAGUUGAGUAAGCAGGCAUAAUCAGGCUGCAUGUAAUUUCUUUGCAUUUAUAUAGAUGACUUUCAAAAUAAAACUCUUGCUACAGCUUCAGGCCAAAACCUUUCUCCUUGAGCCACAGCUCUUAUCAUUUUUUUCCCCUCAGGCAUACUGAUCCUUAGCUACUCAGGAAAGCAUGCACGCAAAUGAUAGGCCAAUAGAAAAUUCUCCGAAUGGCAAACCUCUGAAGUCAUCCCAAGUGCUAUUUGCCAUGCAUCAUGAUAAAACUGGACAAGUUUGAGGAGGCACUAAUUAUAUGCUUGGUCUAUCAUUUAUCAGUUGUUGAAGCUGUUGUUCUCAGAAGACAGCAGCCUCUUUCGUGGCGCAGUUCAACAAGAUUGCCAGAGCUCAGUGAGCCAAGCAGGGUUGACAGAUUUUGGCAUUUAUUCCCUUCAAUGUAAGAACAUCCCAUUACAACACAAAUGGGUAUCUUGCUUUGCUGUAGCACUGCAUCAUAUACAGAUACAGUAAUGUCGAUCUGUGGGCUUUUCUUAAAAUUGUAUUUUGGGAACUAAUCCCCUUUAAAACAAAUGGCAACUGUAGGACUUGCAUUUACCAUCAGCCUUGAUAGUUUGUUUCAGUUAAUACAAUAGUUAAUAUAUAAUCCUUUUGUGAUUUUUAACCAACAUAAAUCGAAGGUCAUCUUGUUCCCCCUCAGGUCUUGUGAGAAAAAAGCAGAUGUUUAAUGCAGUGAGCUAAAUAAUAGAAGAUUAUAAAUUCUAAUGAAUAUUCAUGGAUUCAAAUAAGAUAAUGGACCACGUGUCAAGAAAUAAUGUGGCUUCCUGCUAUGAUUUCCAGUGUGGCUUAACAUGUUUCAAAGAGCUUCCAGUGUCAAGAAUUGCUUUGUAAUACUGAGUUUUCACACUUUCUUGAAACGCGGAUUUUUUUUUUCAUGUAUGUUUCUGAACUCAUUUGGGAUGAUAUCAUUUCUUUAUUUGAUACCUCAGAAGCACUGCAAUGAUAAAAGGAGAUUUUUCACAUAA